Molecule: ribosomal RNA, 853 nt
Filed under: Uwebraunia musae
Lineage: Eukaryota; Fungi; Ascomycota; Dothideomycetes; Mycosphaerellales; Dissoconiaceae
Description: LSU rRNA
Rfam family: Eukaryotic large subunit ribosomal RNA
Source: RNAcentral
AUUGCCCUAGUAACGGCGAGUGAAGCGGCAACAGCUCAAAUUUGAAAUCUGGCGCAAGCCCGAGUUGUAAUUUGUAGAGGAUGCUUCUGGGUAGCGGCCGGUCUAAGUUCCUUGGAACAGGACGUCACAGAGGGUGAGAAUCCCGUAUGUGAUCGGCCCGCGCCCUCUACGUAGCUCCUUCGACGAGUCGAGUUGUUUGGGAAUGCAGCUCUAAAUGGGAGGUAAAUUUCUUCUAAAGCUAAAUACCGGCCAGAGACCGAUAGCGCACAAGUAGAGUGAUCGAAAGAUGAAAAGCACUUUGGAAAGAGAGUUAAACAGCACGUGAAAUUGUUGAAAGGGAAGCGCUUGCAACCAGACUUGACGGCGGUGUUCCCCCGGGCUUCUGCCCGGGUUAUUCACCGUCGGCAGGCCAUCAUCGUCUGGGGCCGCCGGAGAAACCGCCAGGAAUUAGCUCCCUCGGGAGUGUUAUAGCCUGGCGACAUGCGGCGUGCCCCGGGCGAGGUCCGCGCUCUGCAAGGAUGAUGGCGUAAUGGUUGUCAGCGGCCCGUCUUGAAACACGGACCAAGGAGUCUAACAUCUAUGCGAGUGUUCGGGUGUCAAACCCCUACGCGUAAUGAAAGUGAACGGAGGUGGGAGCUUCGGCGCACCAUCGACCGAUCCUGAUGUCCUCGGAUGGAUUUGAGUAAGAGCAUAGCUGUUGGGACCCGAAAGAUGGUGAACUAUGCCUGAAUAGGGUGAAGCCAGAGGAAACUCUGGUGGAGGCUCGCAGCGGUUCUGACGUGCAAAUCGAUCGUCAAAUUUGGGUAUAGGGGCGAAAGACUAAUCGAACCAUCUAGUAGCUGGUUCCUGCCGA